GAUGAACGCUGGCGGCGUGCCUAAUACAUGCAAGUCGAGCGAACAGACGAGGAGCUUGCUCCUCUGACGUUAGCGGCGGACGGGUGAGUAACACGUGGAUAACCUACCUAUAAGACUGGGAUAAUUUCGGGAAACCGGAGCUAAUACCGGAUAAUAUAUUGAACCGCAUGGUUCAAUAGUGAAAGACGGUUUUGCUGUCACUUAUAGAUGGAUCCGCGCCGCAUUAGCUAGUUGGUAAGGUAACGGCUUACCAAGGCAACGAUGCGUAGCCGACCUGAGAGGGUGAUCGGCCACACUGGAACUGAGACACGGUCCAGACUCCUACGGGAGGCAGCAGUAGGGAAUCUUCCGCAAUGGGCGAAAGCCUGACGGAGCAACGCCGCGUGAGUGAUGAAGGUCUUCGGAUCGUAAAGCUCUGUUAUUAGGGAAGAACAAAUGUGUAAGUAACUAUGCACGUCUUGACGGUACCUAAUCAGAAAGCCACGGCUAACUACGUG
This 497-nucleotide ribosomal RNA is filed under the name uncultured bacterium. RNAcentral describes it as "partial 16S ribosomal RNA". It matches the Rfam family "Bacterial small subunit ribosomal RNA", at positions 28 to 507 of the family's 1533-position model. The record is from RNAcentral.